Molecule: non-coding RNA, 552 nt
Filed under: Pan troglodytes (chimpanzee)
Lineage: Eukaryota; Metazoa; Chordata; Mammalia; Primates; Hominidae
Source: RNAcentral
UCUCACAUGAGGUCCCGGCGAGAAGGACCUGCCUCCAUCAGAUUCACACUCGGGAGAGGGGCCCGGCCUCCAGGAGCGCCAGGCAGAGGAGAGGGCACCCAUUAGGAAGAAGAACACAGAGGCCAUGGGAGUGAAAAGUUUGAUGCUGGAAAGCAAUAGUAGCACAUUCUGCUACAGAGCGGAAUGAAAAACCCUGGAGAGCAAAUUCCUGAGCCAGAGAAUGGAGCGGAGGAACCAGCCAAGGAGGAUAAAGAGACUUAGCCUAGAAAAUAAUGAAGAAGGACAGAAAGAGAAUAUCAUUCUACUACACCCGCUGAUGACUUAAAAACUGUGUGCUCUGAGGCUGCCCGACCCUGAGCUCCAGAACAGACCAUCGAGUUCAGGAGACAAGCAUGUCAGCCAUGACACAAGGCAGAUGAGAGGGACCCAGCGUCCACACGUGGAGGCAGCAGGGGCAGCCGAUCCAUACAAACAGGCCGACCAUCAGGGCUGGUCCCAGGCCACCAGGCCGGGUGCAAUGCAGAAAUGGAGAUCUGCCCCGGGGAAGGCAGG